This 699-nucleotide long non-coding RNA is filed under the name Equus asinus (donkey). Its description in RNAcentral is "lncRNA (ENSEASG00005028981.1)". The record is from RNAcentral. Lineage: Eukaryota; Metazoa; Chordata; Mammalia; Perissodactyla; Equidae.
GUUAUGUUCACUCAUCACCCCUUUGAAGUCAGCUUUGAGUGCUUGGAUUCUGGUUACUUCCAAUCUGUUUUUUAUCUCUCACUUCAGCUGCAUGUACAUAGAUUCAGAGAUGGUGAAAACUGGAAAGGACUUCACAGGUCUUCUAAUCUAGGGCAUCCUCAGUUAACGGAUCAUCAUUGUGAGAUCACUCAACUGGUUACUGCUGCCAGCUCUGCUCUCCAUUAAGUGUCCUUGUUGAGUUUGCCUCCAGUGACAGCUGGAGCAAGAACACAGUCAUCUGGGGCCACAUCUCGCUGACACUGGCUCAGUGACCAGGAUCCUUCCUGUGAGCCAAACCCAACCAGAAGCUGGAGGGAACAGGAGUCAGUUCCAUUAAGAUCAGCCACUGGGGACAGAGAUCCAGGUGGAGAAUGCUGAAGAAAGCAUCUGGAUGUGCAAAGUUUGACCUUCUCUGGACUUUUUGGUCUAUAUGGAAGAAGAAUGGCAGCCAAAGCCAUUGAGUUUUACAUCCUCCCAUCCAAUUAACUGAAGACAGACUGACUCUCUUCUUGGUUCCGUAUAUCCUGAGAAAGACUUAGGACCCAGGUUGGGUCAGGUGCUGCAACCCUGGAUAUUCAGCUGAGGCUGGUAUGUGUGUGUGUGGUACUGUGACGUGUUAUUGUGGCUGCAAGUCUGUGUGUGCUGUCUAGAGUCUAGAGA